Molecule: ribosomal RNA, 492 nt
Filed under: uncultured bacterium
Lineage: Bacteria
Description: partial 16S ribosomal RNA
Rfam family: Bacterial small subunit ribosomal RNA
Source: RNAcentral
AGUGAACGCUGGCGGUAGGCCUAACACAUGCAAGUCGAACGGCAGCACAGUAAGAGCUUGCUCUUACGGGUGGCGAGUGGCGGACGGGUGAGGAAUACAUCGGAAUCUACUUUUUCGUGGGGGAUAACGUAGGGAAACUUACGCUAAUACCGCAUACGACCUACGGGGGAAAGCAGGGGAUCUUCGCACCUUGCGCGAAUGAAUGAGCCGAUGUCGGAUUAGCUAGUUGGCGGGGUAAAGGCCCACCAAGGCGACGAUCCGUAGCUGGUCUGAGAGGAUGAUAGGCCACACUGGAACUGAGACACGGUCCAGAGUCCUACGGGAGGCAGCAGUGGGGAAUAGUAGACAAUGGGCGCAAGCCUGAUCCAGCCAUACCGCGUGGGUGAAGAAGGCCUUCGGGUUGUAAAGCCCUUUUGUUGGGAAAGAAAAGCAGCAGGUUAAUACCCCGCUGUUCUGACGGUACCCAAAGAAUAAGCACCGGCUAACUUCGUG